UUUAACAAAGGCAUUAGCUAAAAAGAAGGAGCUUGAGGAUAAAAUGGUGGCACUUGUUCAGGAGAAAAACGAUCUUCUACUGCAAGUAACUUCUGAAUCUGAAAACCUCUGUGAUGCUGAGGAGAGAUGUGAAGGGCUCAUCAAAA
This is a long non-coding RNA of Sinocyclocheilus anshuiensis, 146 nucleotides long. RefSeq lists it as uncharacterized. The record is from RefSeq and is a predicted model, not a curated record. NCBI's taxonomy places the organism in Eukaryota, Metazoa, Chordata, Actinopteri, Cypriniformes, Cyprinidae. The transcript is spliced from 2 exons.